CUAACGUCGACAGUGAGGAAAUAAAUAGGGCGACUCCAGCCCCAACUGCCUCCCUCCUCACAUGCGCCCAACGGACUCGCCAAGAUUGCCCAACCAAAGAGCGACAGUUGGACAGUUUGCAGAGUAUCUCUUCCUGGGUCACCUCCCAAAGGAUGGGAAUGCUUGGCUUUACUCCCAGGAAAACCGCCAUCUGGCAAAGUCAACAGACAGAAAAGAAGCAGAAUGAAGCAGCAUCUGCUGACUUUCCGAGAUAAUACAGAUUUCCAGCCUGGCAGGAUUCUGAAGGCGGGGCCAACGUCCAAGGCCAACUGAGAUGCCUUCAGCUGAGAUAAGAGAACUCUGUUCUGGGAGCCCAGGGCCCGGGCUCUCACAGUGCGGCUGGCUCACCCCGUGUCCGGAUAGAUUUUCUGACCUCUGAAGAAGGGAACAUCGGGGCACCUGAGUGGCUCAGUCGGUUGAGCCUCCGACUUUGCCCCAGGUCAUGAUCUCACAGCUUGUGAGUUCGAGCCCCACGUCGGGCUCUGUGCUGACAGCUCAGAGCCUGGAGCCUGCUUCUGCUUCUGUGGCUCCCUCUCUCUCUGCCCCUAACCCACUCACAUUCUGUCUCUGUCUCUCUCAAA
Molecule: long non-coding RNA, 620 nt
Organism: Neofelis nebulosa (Clouded leopard)
Lineage: Eukaryota; Metazoa; Chordata; Mammalia; Carnivora; Felidae
Exons: 3
Source: RefSeq, a predicted model, not a curated record